GGCCUUUUGAGUAUGAUUUAAGGUCUUACCUGCCCAAUGAUUUUUUAAUGGCCGCAGUAUUUUGACUGUGCAAAGGUAGCAUAAUCAUUAGUUUCUUAAUUAGAAGCUGGAAUGAAUGGUUUGAUGAGAAAUUAACUGUCUCUUUAUAAUUGUUUUAUAAUUUUAUUUUUAAGUUAAAAAGCUUAAAUUUUUUACAAAGACGAGAAGACCCUAUAGAGUUUUACGAUUUUAGGAGUAGCUUAUUUAAGGGUUUUGUUAUUAAAUUAUUUCUUGAAUUGUUUUGUUGGGGUGACAUGAAAAUUUACGUAACUUUUCAUUGGUUUUACACUAAUGAGUGAAUAUAUGAUCCUAUUUUUUAGAUUAUAAGAUUAAAUUACCUUAGGGAUAACAGCGUAAUUUUCUUUGAAAGUUCUUAUUGAUAAGAAAGUUUGCGA
Molecule: ribosomal RNA, 434 nt
Filed under: Dendarus angulitibia
Lineage: Eukaryota; Metazoa; Arthropoda; Insecta; Coleoptera; Tenebrionidae
Description: partial 16S ribosomal RNA
Rfam family: Bacterial large subunit ribosomal RNA
Source: RNAcentral